Molecule: non-coding RNA, 97 nt
Organism: Mycena galericulata
Lineage: Eukaryota; Fungi; Basidiomycota; Agaricomycetes; Agaricales; Mycenaceae
Source: the annotation of a GenBank genome assembly
GGCCUGGUAGCACAAUGAUUAGUGCAUCUGCCAGCAGUCAGAAGAUGACGGCGGAAAAUGUAUGCAGAUGAUCCUGGUUCAAUUCCGGGUCAGGUCU